UUUCUUCUUUGCAACUUCAACUAUAAUAAUUUAUAUCUGAACUGGGAAAGUGAUGGAGAAAGUGGCUUUGCUGUAAAAGCAAUAGAAACAAUUUCCGAUUUCUCUCUCAUCCAAAAGGUUGGUUUACCAGAAAGGAACACAGUGUUCGAAUGAAAAGCCAAUGCAAAUGGAAUCCAUGACGUUUCCUUUUAAUUUUAAUAUUCCAAUCAUAAUAUUGAUGAAUAUAUUUGCUCAAUCAUUUGAUCUCAACAUCAUUUGAGCACUGAAAAAAUAUUCUUAAAAUUUUUAAUCAUGCCACUCCUUUUUUCUUUUAUUGUUUUUAAAGUUCAACACAAUAUUUGAACUCUUAAAGAUUACAACUUUUAAUCACUUAAUCGGCUAAAGACAUAUAAUUAUUUAUGUAAUUGAUUUAUAUAUACCCACUUAAAUAGAAUUCAUUGUUUUCUUCCA
Molecule: non-coding RNA, 450 nt
Organism: Benincasa hispida (wax gourd)
Lineage: Eukaryota; Viridiplantae; Streptophyta; Magnoliopsida; Cucurbitales; Cucurbitaceae
Source: RefSeq, a predicted model, not a curated record